RNAcentral lists this ribosomal RNA (433 nucleotides) under uncultured bacterium. RNAcentral's name for it is "partial 16S ribosomal RNA". It matches the Rfam family "Bacterial small subunit ribosomal RNA", at positions 29 to 507 of the family's 1533-position model. The record is from RNAcentral.
AACGAACGCUGGCGGCAUGCCUAACACAUGCAAGUCGAACGAGAGCUUCGGGUUUAGUGGCGGACGGAUGCGUGACGGGUGGGAAACUGCCCAUAAGUUCGGAAUAACUCGCCGAAAGGGGUGCUAAUACCGGAUCAUAUAUUCGAAACAAAGAUUUAUAGCAUUUGGAUGUGCUCGGGAGGGAUUAGCUGGUUGGUAGGGUAAAAGCGUAUCACGGGGUGGUUCCAUAACUGGUUUGAGAGGCAGAUCAGCCACACUGGGAUGAGGACACGGCCCAGACUCCUACGGGAGGCAGCAGUGGGGAAUAUUGGACAAUGGGCGAAAGGCUGAUCCAGCAAUGCCGCGUGAGUGAUGAAGGCCUUAGGGUUGUAAAGCUCUUUUACCCGGGAUGAUAAUGACAUUACCGGGAGAAUAAGCACCGGCUAACUCCGUG